GGAAAAACAGGGCCACAGGCUGGGCAUGACACAUCUUGUUACCCAUGCAAUGUUGGGGUCAGAGAGUGUAGAGAGUGGUGUGGGGAGAGUGCAGGCUGAAGAGUUACCUAAGGUCAAAAUCCUGACCUAUGAGCCAAGCCAUCGAUUUGGGAUUUCUACUGAGGACACUGGAAGUCACUAAGAGCAUCUGAAUGAAAGAAAAUAAAAGAGACUGAGAAACCACAGAAAUAAAGAAGCGCUGAUGACAAUGCCUGCUUGCUGAUGGUUACGAUGAUCAUAGCAGUGUGCAUUUUGUAUGCAUGAAGCCUGCGACUAAAUAAACGUGUGGGGAAAUAUUUGUAAGGAAAUAAGCUAUUAAUAAAAUAAGCUAAAAUCACAGUUGCUGGACUAUGACUGAUUUUUCCCCUUUCUCUCAUUUAAAAUUAAAUAUUUGUAUGACUUGUAUAAUAGAAAAAUACAUGUAUUCAAUCUUAAAAAGAUAUUCUUAUUUUACACUUUACGGGACAAAAGAGGUUGUAGGUUGGAAUGGUUCAGUCCCCUUGUGACAACUCAAAAACAGAGACCUUAAGCCUUUCUCAACCAAUGUUGCGGGACAAGCAGGCGUGUGAGGCGACAAUGCCAUUAGGGUAUUUUUUGGAAAAAUUUUAGUGUGAGAGACAAAAGCCAAAUUCAAACUGGCCUGAGCCAAAAUAGGUAGGAAAGGGAGAAGCGGAGACAGGGAGGAAGAAAGAGAGAGAACAGAAAGAAAAAGGGAGAAAUGUCGAAAGGCAAAAUUACAACACAUUUAGUUAAAUGAUUGAAUUGGUUUUUAUUUGUAAUUCAUGAAUUGGGGCAGCAUCUCCUCUAAAACUUUAGGAAAAGUGCUCUGAUGAGCUAAACAGAGAAGCUUGGCUUUAUAGGCAGAAAAGGGUGAAGAAAGCAGACACAGGGAACAAAAAGCAGAUUGGUAAGCUCAGGUUACUUCAGGUUACUUUCCUUAUAAAGGUUAAAGUAGAGGGGACUUCCUUAUCAUGCUGGCUACAACUGGCCUGUUUGGGGAUUUGCAUAUUAUCUCUCUCUGUCUUGAGUUCUGGGAAGGUCUGAUGACUUAGUUUCAGUUUGGUGAUAUGGAACUUAGCAUGAGUGACUCCAUCUUGGUUUGGUCUACUGGGGCCUCCUGCAGGAGCUCAGCCCAAAUCAGUGACCUCCUAUAAAUUUCAUUUAAUAGAAAAGGAAGGAAGGAAGGAAGGAAGGAAGGAAGGAAGGAAGGAAGGAAGGAAGGGAGGGAGGGAGGGAGGGAGGGAGGGAGGAAGGGAGGAAAGAAGGAAGGAAAGAAAGAAAGUUGCUUAUAAGUUGCUUAUAACUAAAAAGACCAGCUGGACCCAGGAGCUCUGAGGUUGCUUUCAGGCCUCUGUCCAUCUCUUAGUUUUCCAUCCUCAGACAGGCUCUGCCCUGCCUUACAGUCUAGCAUUGUUGGCCAAAGGUGACUGACUGGCCCAGCUUGGGCUAUAUGUCCUUCCCUGUGGCCAGAGAGAUGUGUCUCUGUGAUGGCCAGGCUUGGGUCACGUACUCCCUCCCCUACCAGAAUCACAUGAAAAGAGGGAGGAAGAGCCGCUUUCCACCAAAGGAAACUGAAGUGCUAUUGUCAGAGGGGUUGCUGGGCAGACCAAAAAGAUGACAAUAUCUGCUCCAAUCGCUCGGGUUGUUGGUGCUUGGCAGAUUUGCCCCUACGUCACUUUUCAGAUGUGGAUAAGACUGAAGGUGACCACAGGCUUCCGAGAGGAAAGCUGCCAAUGGGGGUGUGAGAGGAGGGGGAAUUCUUACUCACCAAGGUUAACACUGUGCACACUGUUCUCCGAGGAAGUGGGAAUUUCCACAUGGUGAGUUCCCUUCCCUGUACAAUGAAUUACUAUCUUGAUGAGAAACCCGUGGGCAGCUGGUUGAGAAGAGAAAGGUAUUCUCUGAAUGAGAGGGAAUUUACCACCUUCCUUUCAAUGGUGACAGUUUUUUCUGGUGUCACCGCAGGGUGUGGAUUGAUUCAUAUACAAAUAUACAUAUCUACAUAGAUGCCAUUCUGCUAGCCUCUGCAAAAUGCAUGCCUGGAGACCAUUUCUGCUGCCUAGGAGAUGUCAACUUUGUCACCACCACUCUCUCUCCACCACUCCCACACCCUGCAGGGGCCAGGUGUGUGGGUGGGGAGCUCCCCAGCUGGAGGCCAGAUUAGAGGUCUCUGUGUGGUGGGGAUGGGGAGGAUGGGGUGGGAAUGAGGUGGUAGGCCACUGGCAGUGGUCCAAGUUCCAUCCAGGAUCUGUCCUAGGCCUCUCCCCAGGCUGUCGCUUCCACCAUUGAAUUUCUAACCUGGAUCUCUAAGGUUAUGAAUAUCUCAUUCCCGCAUCCUGGGGUGCUCAGACAUGUCUCCCCUGAGUCUCUAGCUGGGCUCGUGGCUGUGAUCAUUGUCCUCAGAGUUCCAUCCUCCCAACAAAGGGACAGAAGAAACACAGGGCCCACUUUUCUGGAUUCUGAGUUGGAGCCAAGAAAUUCUAUCUGCUGCUUCCUUCCUGUUGAAUUAUCCCCCAAGGACCCCUUAGUCCCUCCAGUCUCCUCCAGAGGCCUAUAGCUGCCCCAGCUCCCCAUGAUGGAUACCUGGCUCUUUCCUACCCAGAGGAAAACGCAGGCCCUUCCCCAGCCCUGCACUGAACUCCUGUGAGUGGCUGAGGAGAUGAGGAGGUGUGAAGAGUGAGUGUGUUGGGGAGGGAGGGGUCCCCUGCCACCAGGUACCAAGGACUUCUGCCAGAUCACCAGAACUGACACCUGGUUCCACCGGCCAGCUGUGAAGUGUCGGCCCUGACAUCAACAGCUGACCUCCCACAGGGCCUAAGGAAACGGAAUUGUGG
RNAcentral lists this long non-coding RNA (2873 nucleotides) under Homo sapiens (human). RNAcentral describes it as "HSALNT0141051". The record is from RNAcentral. Lineage: Eukaryota; Metazoa; Chordata; Mammalia; Primates; Hominidae.